UAGGGAAUCUUCGGCAAUGGACGAAAGUCUGACCGAGCAACGCCGCGUGAGUGAAGAAGGUUUUCGGUUCGUAAAACUCUGUUGUUAGUGAAGAACAAGGACGUUAGUAACUGAACGUCCCUUGACGGUAUCUAACCAGAAAGCCACGGCUAACUACGUGCCAGCAGCCGCGGUAAUACGUAGGUGGCUAGCGUUGUCCGGAUUUAUUGGGCGUAAAGCGAGCGCAGGCGGUUUCUUAAGUCUGAUGUGAAAGCCCCCGGUUCAACCGGGGAGGGUCAUUGGAAACUGGGAGACUUGAGUGCAGAAGAGGAGAGUGGAAUUCCAUGUGUAGCGGUGAAAUGCGUAGAUAUAUGGAGGAACACCAGUGGCGAAGGCGGCUCUCUGGUCUGUAACUGACGCUGAGGCUCGAAAGCGUGGGGAGCAAACAGG
This 429-nucleotide ribosomal RNA is filed under the name Gemmatimonadota bacterium. Its description in RNAcentral is "Gemmatimonadetes bacterium partial 16S ribosomal RNA". It matches the Rfam family "Bacterial small subunit ribosomal RNA", at positions 355 to 776 of the family's 1533-position model. The record is from RNAcentral. Lineage: Bacteria; Pseudomonadati; Gemmatimonadota.